This 67-nucleotide transfer RNA is filed under the name Xenos vesparum. Its description in RNAcentral is "tRNA-Thr". The record is from RNAcentral. Lineage: Eukaryota; Metazoa; Arthropoda; Insecta; Strepsiptera; Xenidae.
GUUUAAAUAAUUUAAUAAAAAAUAUUAAUUUUGUAAAUUAAAAAUAAAAAAAAAAAUUUUUUAAACU